Molecule: non-coding RNA, 233 nt
Organism: Brochothrix thermosphacta
Lineage: Bacteria; Bacillati; Bacillota; Bacilli; Caryophanales; Listeriaceae
Source: Rfam
ACCGAUGUUAUGACGAAGAUUAGUAAACAUAAAAAUUACUUACAAGAGAGCCUGUGGUUGCUGGAAAAUAGGCAAAUAAUUAUGUUGAAUGGACUUCCGAGCACUUUAUAUGAACCUUAAGUAGUAUAAAGCGUCUAAUCCACGUUAAACGAUGCCUUUUUAGGAAGGCACGAGUGGCCAAUUUAUUGGCACUUAGGGUGGUACCGCGGAUUCAACACAUUUUCGUCCCUUUU